UAUUUGCCAGUUCUUCAAACUAUUCAAAAUUUCCACUACCCGUUCUCCAGAACUGGUCAGAACCUGCUGAAUACCACCUCUGGAUAUACCCAAUAAACAAGUUCUUUGAGGAAUCUACUUGCCUCAUAGUUCUGCUUUCAAUGGGUGUGUUACUUGGAACGCUGACAGUUACAUUGACAAAGGGAAAACUGGACAGAUCCUUGAUUUGAUAUUACUGGAAAGAUCUCCUGCCCAGCUGAUUCCAGAGGCUGCCUGUAGUGGAUGGUUCUUGUCAUCUAUUGAGUCUUAUUGAGCCUGUUCUUCACCCAUCAGUUGCAUUUCCACAACUGUCUUUAGCUAGUUGUCUUCUUCCUCUUGCUUAGUGUGAUGCGUAGGAGAACUUUGUGGCAAACCAAAGGAGUCUCUGUGCUGUGCAUGGGGACGCUCCCCACCUUGGGCAUUUCAGUUUGUGGGCUAAGUGAUGGACACUUGAUGGUUCUUCAACCUGGAGAUGACAAUUUCCAGAAGUUCACGUGAGUAAGAGAUCUGUGGAUGGUGAUGAGGUGGAAGAAGGAUUUAUUUCCUGGCUCUAGCUAACUGACUUUCUUCCUGCAGAGAUAUGUUCCCACGUUGUUACUAUGAUUAUAGUGCUUUCGAUAUAUCCCCAUCUGUUGAAGAGCAGGAGGAGGUCUUACAUGUGUGGCACACCAUGGAGAAACCUGACUUGAUGAAGAUGAAACUGAGCAAAGAUAAAAAGGCCAGAAUCAUUAAGCACAUCAAGUGGACACCGAACAAGCCUUCUAGCUUCGUCACUGUUGCCAGGCUGGUCAAAGACAAAUUAUUAUAUGGUGAUUCAGAGGGAUUUCUCUGGAGUCAGAUUCCGCACAUAGAGGAGGAGGAGGAGGAGGAGGAGGAGACAGAGCAGGAGGAUGAGGAUGAAGAUGAAGAAAAAGAAAAAGAAGAGGAAAAGGAGGAGGAAGUAGAGAAGGAAGAGGAAGAAGUGGAGGAAGAAGAGGAAGACGCAUCUAAGGACUGGCAAAAGAGGAAGGUGAGACAGAUUCAGCAAAAAAUGGUUGCCCAUCUCUCCUAUGUGAGCAAGAAUUAUGUCAUGCCACUUCAGUCAACUGAUUGGCAAAACUACUGUUCCCAUUUACUGAGACCCUUUCCAUGUUGCUGGAGGGAAUGACCCACUUGUCUUAUUCAAAGUCCAUUCUCCUUCACAUAGCAACACCAGUUACUGGAUCCAAUCUGGGUUGAAGACCUGGGCCAGAGGUUUAGUCUUCCGAGUUUUCAGACUAAUGUUGGAACCCAUCCUUAGUAACUUCUCUCUCAC
RNAcentral lists this long non-coding RNA (1312 nucleotides) under Pseudonaja textilis. Its description in RNAcentral is "lncRNA (ENSPTXG00000015558.1)". Lineage: Eukaryota; Metazoa; Chordata; Lepidosauria; Squamata; Elapidae. The record is from RNAcentral.